GACGAACGCUGGCGGCGUGCCUAAUACAUGCAAGUUGAGCGAUGAAGAUUGGUGCUUGCACCAAUUUGAAGAGCAGCGAACGGGUGAGUAACGCGUGGGGAAUCUGCCUUUGAGCGGGGGACAACAUUUGGAAACGAAUGCUAAUACCGCAUAACAACUUUAAACAUAAGUUUUAAGUUUGAAAGAUGCAAUUGCAUCACUCAAAGAUGAUCCCGCGUUGUAUUAGCUAGUUGGUGAGGUAAAGGCUCACCAAGGCGAUGAUACAUAGCCGACCCGAGAGGGUGAUCGGCCACAUUGGGACUGAGACACGGCCCAAACUCCUACGGGAGGCAGCAGUAGGGAAUCUUCGGCAAUGGACGAAAGUCUGACCGAGCAACGCCGCGUGAGUGAAGAAGGUUUUCGGAUCGUAAAACUCUGUUGGUAGAGAAGAACGUUGGUGAGAGUGGAAAGCUCAUCAAGUGACGGUAACUACCCAGAAAGGGACGGCUAACUACGUGCCAGCAGCCGCGGUAAUACGUAGGUCCCGAGCGUUGUCCGGAUUUAUUGGGCGUAAAGCGAGCGCAGGUGGUUUAUUAAGUCUGGUGUAAAAGGCAGUGGCUCAACCAUUGUAUGCAUUGGAAACUGGUAGACUUGAGUGCAGGAGAGGAGAGUGGAAUUC
This 658-nucleotide ribosomal RNA is filed under the name uncultured Lactococcus sp. Its description in RNAcentral is "bacterial SSU rRNA". It matches the Rfam family "Bacterial small subunit ribosomal RNA", at positions 28 to 669 of the family's 1533-position model. The record is from RNAcentral. Lineage: Bacteria; Bacillati; Bacillota; Bacilli; Lactobacillales; Streptococcaceae.